GCUCUCUUUUGCAACAACACGGACUAAAAUAGGAACAAUACAGAGAAGAUUAGCAUGGCUUGGGCACAAAGAUGACACACAAAUUUAUGAAGCAUUCCAUAUUUUU
This is a small nuclear RNA of Monodelphis domestica (gray short-tailed opossum), 106 nucleotides long. NCBI's taxonomy places the organism in Eukaryota, Metazoa, Chordata, Mammalia, Didelphimorphia, Didelphidae. The record is from Ensembl.